RNAcentral lists this ribosomal RNA (496 nucleotides) under uncultured bacterium. RNAcentral's name for it is "partial 16S ribosomal RNA". It matches the Rfam family "Bacterial small subunit ribosomal RNA", at positions 28 to 506 of the family's 1533-position model. The record is from RNAcentral.
GAUGAACGCUGGCGGCGUGCCUAAUACAUGCAAGUCGAGCGAACAGACGAGGAGCUUGCUCCUCUGACGUUAGCGGCGGACGGGUGAGUAACACGUGGAUAACCUACCUAUAAGACUGGGAUAACUUCGGGAAACCGGAGCUAAUACCGGAUAAUAUAUUGAACCGCAUGGUUCAAUAGUGAAAGACGGUUUUGCUGUCACUUAUAGAUGGAUCCGCGCCGCAUUAGCUAGUUGGUAAGGUAACGGCUUACCAAGGCAACGAUGCGUAGCCGACCUGAGAGGGUGAUCGGCCACACUGGAACUGAGACACGGUCCAGACUCCUACGGGAGGCAGCAGUAGGGAAUCUUCCGCAAUGGGCGAAAGCCUGACGGAGCAACGCCGCGUGAGUGAUGAAGGUCUUCGGAUCGUAAAACUCUGUUAUUAGGGAAGAACAAAUGUGUAAGUAACUAUGCGCGUCUUGACGGUACCUAAUCAGAAAGCCACGGCUAACUACGU